GACGAACGCUGGCGGCGUGCUUAACACAUGCAAGUCGUACGGUAAGGCCCUUUCGGGGGUACACGAGUGGCGAACGGGUGAGUAACACGUGCGUAACCUGCCCACAACUUUGGGAUAACGCUAGGAAACUGGUGCUAAUACUGGAUAUGUGCCCCUGCUGCAUGGUGGGGGUUGGAAAGCUCCGGCGGUUGUGGAUGGACUCGCGGCCUAUCAGCUUGUUGGUGGGGUAGUGGCCUACCAAGGCGGCGACGGGUAGCCGGCCUGAGAGGGUGACCGGCCACAUUGGGACUGAGAUACGGCCCAGACUCCUACGGGAGGCAGAAGUGGGGAAUAUUGCACAAUGGGCGCAAGCCUGAUGCAGCAACGCCGCGUGCGGGAUGACGGCCUUAGGGUUGUAAACCGCUUUCAGCAGGGACGAAGCUUUUUGUGACGGUACCUGCAGAAGAAGCACCGGCUAACUACGUG
RNAcentral lists this ribosomal RNA (465 nucleotides) under uncultured bacterium. RNAcentral's name for it is "partial 16S ribosomal RNA". It matches the Rfam family "Bacterial small subunit ribosomal RNA", at positions 28 to 507 of the family's 1533-position model. The record is from RNAcentral.